UGGGGAAUCUUCCGCAAUGGACGAAAGUCUGACGGAGCAACGCCGCGUGAGUGAAGAAGGUUUUCGGAUCGUAAAGCUCUGUUGUUUGAGACGAACGUGCAGUAUACGAAUAAUGUGCUGUAAUGACGGUAUCAAACUAGAAAGCCACGGCUAACUACGUGCCAGCAGCCGCGGUAAUACGUAGGUGGCAAGCGUUGUCCGGAAUUAUUGGGCGUAAAGGGAGCGCAGGUGGGAAUGUAAGUCAGUCUUAAAAGUGCGAGGCUCAACCUCGUGAUGGGACAGAAACUACAUUUCUUGAGUGCAGGAGAGGAAAGUGGAAUUCCUAGUGUAGCGGUGAAAUGCGUAGAUAUUAGGAGGAACACCAGUGGCGAAGGCGACUUUCUGGACUGUAACUGACACUGAGGCUCGAAAGCUAGGGGAGCGAACG
Molecule: ribosomal RNA, 427 nt
Filed under: uncultured prokaryote
Description: bacterial SSU rRNA
Rfam family: Bacterial small subunit ribosomal RNA
Source: RNAcentral